GGAGAAAUGGGUGAGUGGCUUAAACCACCUUCCUGCUAAGAAGGCGUACUGGGAAACCGGUACCGCAGGUUCAAAUCCUGCUUUCUCCGCGA
RNAcentral lists this transfer RNA (92 nucleotides) under Chryseobacterium sp. RNAcentral's name for it is "tRNA-Ser". It matches the Rfam family "tRNA". Rfam says of the family: Transfer RNA (tRNA) molecules are approximately 80 nucleotides in length. Lineage: Bacteria; Pseudomonadati; Bacteroidota; Flavobacteriia; Flavobacteriales; Weeksellaceae. The record is from RNAcentral.